GAGUGUGAGUGCAAGUUUGUGACGUGGGGUUAACCAACUCCAGUCCUAGAGGGCCGCAGUGUCUGCGGGUUUAACUCCAGUCCUAGAGGGCCGCAGUGUCUGCGGGUUUAACUCCAGUCCUGGAGGGGACGCUGUGUCUGCAGGUUUAACUCCAGUCCUGGAGGGCCCCAGUGUCUGCAGGUUUAACUCCAGUCCUGGAGGGCCGCAGUGUCUGCAGGUUUAACUCCAGUCCUGGAGGCCGCAGUUGUCUGCAGGUUUAACUCCAGUCCUGGAGGGCCCCAGUGUCUGCAGGUUUAACUCCAGUCCCGGAGGGCCGCAGUGUCUGCGGGUUUAACUCCAGUCCUGGAGGG
Anguilla rostrata (American eel) is the source of this 350-nucleotide long non-coding RNA. RefSeq lists it as uncharacterized. Lineage: Eukaryota; Metazoa; Chordata; Actinopteri; Anguilliformes; Anguillidae. The transcript has 3 exons. The record is from RefSeq and is a predicted model, not a curated record.